AGCCUUCCGAAUCCGUGCCGAAGUUUCACCAGACGCCAGACCAUCAGGACUGCUGAGACUCCCAUGAUAAGUAAAGCG
Molecule: non-coding RNA, 78 nt
Organism: Schistosoma haematobium
Lineage: Eukaryota; Metazoa; Platyhelminthes; Trematoda; Strigeidida; Schistosomatidae
Source: Rfam